This 857-nucleotide long non-coding RNA is filed under the name Capra hircus (goat). RNAcentral describes it as "lncRNA (ENSCHIG00000001301.1)". Lineage: Eukaryota; Metazoa; Chordata; Mammalia; Artiodactyla; Bovidae. The record is from RNAcentral.
CUUUAAAGUGAUGAGAAGGGGCAAACAUUUCCCUCUAUGACUUUGCCAGGCCCCAGAAAUGAGGUUUCUACCUGAGCCUUAAAUCCACGGCCCGUUGUGGCACUACCCACCUGGAGCCUCCAGGCUACCAGCCCAUCCCCAGCCGGCCCCGCCCCGCACCCUACCGACCAAUCCGAGGCUCCGAUCCAGGAGCGCCCAAUGACGGCUUCGCAGCCCCGCCCAUGGUGUUCCCAUGGUGACAGUAGGUAGCCAGUGUGUAUAGAGAAGCUCACUUUCCGGAGAGCAGGCAACCUCAGGCAGGGAGACCCGGUGAGCGGCUGACACUGCGGGGAAAACAGUUUCUUCAGAGGGCCCCUCACCUCCCCCGCAUCCCUCCUUGUUGUUUUCUCCCCACAGAGCACCAAGUAUGGACCAGUGUCUCACUAUGUGCAGAUGUAGAGAACCCUGGUGGGUUACAGCGCAUUGACCAGCGCAUUUACAAUGCCGCCACCAUGUGAGCAGCAUGUCAUUAUUCCCGCAAGCUGUCGACGUUGUUGAACACCUCAGGCAGGCCGAUCAUUACUGUAUUAGCUGGUGAUUGGAACAACCGAAACAAUCCAACAGGUGUGGUUUAUUCUCUGAAGUCUUCAAAGUUCUGGCAGCUGUGAAACUGAAAUAGAAUCUCUUGGUCUGUUUUCUGGGUAAGGAAGCUAAGAACAUAUGAAAAAAAUUUCAUUGUCUUUAUAGAUUUUUUUCAAUUUUUUAUGCAUAUAUGUGUAUGUGAAUGCCUCUGGCAUUUAAUGGUCAGUAAUUGCUUUGGGCAAAAGCUUAUCAGAGCUCCUUGUGAACUUUCAAGUCGUUCCCUUUGAGUUCUUCAG